Molecule: ribosomal RNA, 460 nt
Filed under: uncultured bacterium
Lineage: Bacteria
Description: partial 16S ribosomal RNA
Rfam family: Bacterial small subunit ribosomal RNA
Source: RNAcentral
CCUACGGGAGGCAGCAGUGAGGAAUAUUGGUCAAUGGGCGGGAGCCUGAACCAGCCAAGUCGCGUGAGGGAAGACGGUCCUACGGAUUGUAAACCUCUUUUGCCGGGGAGCAACGGGGUCCUUGCGAGGGCCCGAUGAGAGUACCCGGAGAAAAAGCAUCGGCUAACUCGGUGCCAGCAGCCGCGGUAUUACGGAGGAUGCGAGCGUUAUCCGGAGUUAGUGGGUUAAAAGGGUGAGUAGGCGGGCUGUUAAGUCAGCGGUAAAAUGUUGGGGCUCAACCCAGGCCUGCCGUUGAAACUGGCGGCCUCGAGUGGGCGAGAAGUAUGCGGAAUGCGUGGUGGAGCGGUGAAAUGCAUAGAUAGCACGCAGAACUCCGAUUGCGAAGGCAGCAUACCGGCGCCCGACUGACGCUGAGGCACGAAAGCGUGGGUAUCGAACAGGAUUAGAUACCCCAGUAGUC